Equus caballus (horse) is the source of this 1917-nucleotide long non-coding RNA. The record is from Ensembl. Lineage: Eukaryota; Metazoa; Chordata; Mammalia; Perissodactyla; Equidae.
GAACUUGAUGCUCAGGUGGUGAGAUUGUGGGCUGGCGUGGGGAGUGAAGGGAGUGACCAGGAGUUGUGGCACCUGGAUUUCUGCCACCAGCUUACCAGUGACCUUGGGCUCCAGGAGAAGUUGUGCUGAAUUCCAUUCCCGUGCAGCUUCCGCGCUGCUGACAAGCCGGGUGCCCACACACCUGGGGAGAGCACAGCAUCGGUUACCUGAGACCUUCCUCGUUUGCACCAAGUUUGAGCUGACAAAUCCUACAAGUUCCUUUUUGUCGGGAGUAAAGCACUGAUUUCCUGCCUGCGGGAGGCCAAACUGGCACAUCUGUGUCAUACUGCUUAGCAGCUCACCUGGAAAACCCACUCAGGCCCUGAUGGGUACGACAUCAUUUCUGCUAUACUCUCUUGGUGGAAGGAGUCGAGAGCCCACCUGGAUUCAAAGGACUGGGACAGAGACCCCACCUCUCGAUGGGAGGAGUGUCGAGUGUUUGCAGCAGCUGCUGGAACCACCCUGACUGCGGCAGGGCAAAGAACGGGGUGGUGCCCCCCUGGACGCAGCCGCUGUGCUCCCUGCAGAGGCACCUCGCCACCGCCAAGAGCGACAAUCCCCUGCAAACUGCACCGCCAGCAAACUGCACCGCAGGCCUGCGUCGGGGGGCUCACGGCAGCCUGGUUCACAGACUCUCGGGAGAAAAAUUCCGACGUACAGGACCUGUUACCCAGCCGUGCAUCUCCUCACCUGCAGCAGGCAGGCUCUUGAGGAAUGAGACCUGGGAACUUCCGGAGGAGGCUGUGAAUGUGGCUGGAGGGUGUGAAGCUGUUCUGACUUUCACAGCGGAGUCUGUCCCACAAGAUGAGUCAGCGGGUGUCCAAAGCAAAGUUGCCCCUCCAACAUUCUGCGAGCCUGGGGCACCGAGCUGUCCGGGGGUCCUGAGCACCGGCCCUCGUCAGCAAGGCGGCCCUGUCUCUGCGGCGAGCACUGCGGCCUGCAGCGGCCAGGUGAAGACACGGAGGCCCCAAGAGGUGACACUACUUAGCAAAGGUCACCCAGCCACCCACCAGCACAUCUGGAUCUCAGACGCAGCGUUCUGGACUCUGGGUUCAGAACCUUUGAAGAAUAUGGUACAGUUAUGCUCACUGAUGGCUUGCCCAUGUCGCUUUUCCCGUGUGCUGUCAUGUAACAAAUUGACUUCAAAGAAUGCCUUCUAUGAAACAUUAGAAAUGAAGCAUGUUCUGUCAUCAGCUGAAAGCAUACGAUGUUCACAAGAACUGUGCUCGAUCGGAGAAUAUUUGGCUCUUGCAAGGUGUCCCCUUGUCCAGGAAGUCUUUCCCUGCAGCGCUGACAUCCAGCCUCGGUUUGACCUGAAGGUAAAGCUGGAGGGCGAGGAAAUGCCAUCCACUCGUCUUGAUGCUCAGAUGCUGAUGGUCUCUCUGCAGCCUUCCUGCGAUGCCCGAGUUUUCCUUCUGUCCUAGCAAUCUUAGCAGUGUCACCUCUGCUCGUUGACCCCAAACUAAACACAUGAAGAGGGCCUCGUCCACUUCUCUGUGCCUCAGAAUGCUGGGUCUUCCUCCUGCGGGGGCGCCGGCUGAUCCGUCCGUCUUGGGGACCGUCCCUGUGAAAGUCUCGUUGGUUCUUUCCAAGAACUCAUCAAGAGGGAAAACUUACAGUGGUACCAACGUGUAUUGUAACACAAUGCGAGGAAGGUUGACUCAAAGGGGCAUUUUCUAAUAGAAUUUCAGGCAAAAGAACGUGGUUAAAUGGAAAAACAUAGCUUUUAAAAGAAAAUGCUGUUAUGACUAUUGCUUUUUUAAAAAUCUGUAAAAUAAUAUUGUACAAAAAAUUGCUUCCUUUCCCAGUACGUGAACAGUCCCCAUGGAUAACAAAGUCACAUUUCCAAUCAUCCAACUCAUUCACUCAUUGCAAAGG